UCUCCGUUGGUGAACCGGCGGGGGGAUCAUUACCGAGUUAUCAACUCCCAAACCCCUGUGAACAUACCCAACGUUGCUUCGGCGGGACCGCCCCGGCGCCCUCGGCGUCCCGGAACCAGGCGCCCGCCGGAGGACCCAAACUCUUGUUUAAACCAUAGUGGCAUAUUCUGAGUCUCACAAGAAAAAUGAAUCAAAACUUUCAACAACGGAUCUCUUGGCUCUG
This 223-nucleotide unclassified non-coding RNA is filed under the name plant metagenome. Its description in RNAcentral is "partial contains small subunit ribosomal RNA, internal transcribed spacer 1, and 5.8S ribosomal RNA". The record is from RNAcentral.